RNAcentral lists this ribosomal RNA (250 nucleotides) under uncultured prokaryote. Its description in RNAcentral is "partial 16S ribosomal RNA". It matches the Rfam family "Bacterial small subunit ribosomal RNA", at positions 524 to 773 of the family's 1533-position model. The record is from RNAcentral.
CACGUAAGCCCCGAGCGUUGUUCGGAAUUAUUGGGCGUAAAGGGCGCGCAGGCGGCCCUGCAAGUCUGGAGUGAAAUCCCCGGGCCCCACCCGGGAACUGCUUUGGAAACUGCAAGGCUGGAGUCGCCGAAGGGGAGCCGGAAUUCCUGGUGUAGGGGUGAAAUCUGUAGAUAUCAGGAAGAACACCGAUGGCGAAGGCAGGCUUCAGGCGGACGACUGACGCUGAGGCGCGGAGGCGCGGGGAGCAAAC